RNAcentral lists this ribosomal RNA (440 nucleotides) under uncultured bacterium. Its description in RNAcentral is "partial 16S ribosomal RNA". It matches the Rfam family "Bacterial small subunit ribosomal RNA", at positions 338 to 795 of the family's 1533-position model. The record is from RNAcentral.
CCUACGGGUGGCAGCAGUGGGGAAUAUUGCACAAUGGGGGAAACCCUGAUGCAGCGACGCCGCGUGAGUGAAGAAGUAAUUCGUUAUGUAAAGCUCUAUCCACAGGGAAGAAAAUGACGGUACCUGAGUAAGAAGCCACGGCUAACUACGAGCCAGCAGCCGCGGCAGUACGUAGGGUGCGAGCGUUAUCCGGAUUUACUGGGUGUAAAGGGAGUGUAGACGGGGGGGCAAGUCUGGAGUGAAAGGCGGAGGCUCAACCCCCGGACUGCUCUGGAAACUGUACGCCUGGAGUGCAGGAGAGGUAAGUGGAAUUCCUAGUGUAGCGGUGAAAUGCGUAGAUAUUAGGAGGAACACCAGUGGCGAAGGCGGCUUACUGGACUGUAACUGACGCUGAGGCUCGAAAGCGUGGGGAGCAAACAGGAUUAGAUACCCGUGUAGUC